RNAcentral lists this ribosomal RNA (209 nucleotides) under uncultured bacterium. RNAcentral describes it as "partial 16S ribosomal RNA". It matches the Rfam family "Bacterial small subunit ribosomal RNA", at positions 1284 to 1500 of the family's 1533-position model. The record is from RNAcentral.
GUUCUCAGUUCGGAUCGGAGUCUGCAACCCGACUCCGUGAAGCUGGAUUCGCUAGUAAUCGCGCAUCAGCCAUGGCGCGGUGAAUACGUUCCCGGGCCUUGUACACACCGCCCGUCAAGCCAUGGGAGCCGGGGGUGCUUGAAGUGCGUCGCCGCAAGGCGCGCCCUAGAGCAAAACCGGUGACUGGGGCUAAGUCGUAACAAGGUAAC